Orcinus orca (killer whale) is the source of this 2891-nucleotide long non-coding RNA. RefSeq lists it as uncharacterized. The record is from RefSeq and is a predicted model, not a curated record. Lineage: Eukaryota; Metazoa; Chordata; Mammalia; Artiodactyla; Delphinidae. The transcript has 5 exons.
CGGACGCGCAAGCUCCGGACGCGCAGGCUCAGCAGCCAUGGCUCACGGGCCCAGCCGCUCCGCGGCACGUGGGAUCUUCCCAGACCGGGCACGAACCCGUGUCCCCUGCAUCGGCAGGCGGACUCUCAACCACUGCGCCACCAGGGAAGCCCAUCUCAGCGCCUUUUAAUACGCUCCUGAGUGUGGUCUGGAAGUGAGUGUUCCACGAUCCGUAAGGAUUCCGAGCUACCGGAGACUCCAGUUCUUGUCUUGUUGCUCCACCAUCCCUCGGGCAUGGCCCUUGUCUGAAUGAAUAUUUGACCACACAUGGGUGGAUGGAUAUUCCAGCCAGGAGGACUGAGGGUCCCUGUCCUGACUUCCGGAGCUUACAAUGAAAUGAACUGAGCCAGAGAGGAUGCUACGGCAGAGAGAGACAAUGGCCAGCGUGACAGAAGGGAUUCAUCUAAGAUUCUUUCCCAUUAUAGGUUAUUACAAGAUAUUGAAUAUAGUUCCCUGUGCUAUACAGUGACAUAGAAAGAGAAGAAGGAAAAUUACACAUCAGGAAAGGCCCCGAAUGUAAGACAGCAAACAGACACAGUGAAAUCUAAACCAGGGUCAGUGACCUUCUUUCCAAGUUGGAUCCUCAAUGGGAGGGUGAGAACGGAGGGGCUGCUUUAUGGAAAUCUGCUGUGGCCCCCCGGGGAGCAGUGACUGUGCCGUCAUCACCCCCUCCCUCCCCGUCAGCACCCCACCUUCACGCCCUGCCCGGACACAGUUCUCCUACAGAAAAGUAGGAUAAUAAGGCCAUAAUGUUGUUUUCCAGAGGUAAGUGAAAACACCUUAAAUGUGUUACUGGUAUUUGGGGGAAAGGGAGAUUAGGCUGUGGGUGGUGCCCGGGAAGGGUGGUGGGUACGCUAAUUGAACCUCGGGAUUAAACUCUCCGGGCCCUAACGCUGCCUGCCCCCUGGCAGAAACAUCACAGAGGUCUCAGAAGCGGCUUUGAGGCUUUUCCGGGGCUCGGAGAUGAUCCUUUGGAGCCCAGGUACGAUGAUACCUGAGUUUGUCCCGGCCUCACAGUAAUGGGGCCACUGGGAGUCUUUCUUCUACAGAAGAGAAAGGUGGGGCUGGCAGGCAGCAGGGGCGAGGCGGGUGCAGCAGGCAGCCGGGCAGCCGCAGGAGGCUCUGGCCGGCGCUGGGCGAGCCAGGUCUGAACCUCAGAGAGGGCUGCUCGCAAAUGAGCUCAGCCCUGGCGUGGUGCCUUCACCCGACAGCCGCUGGCUGUUAGGGGCAUUUUGAAGUCAGACAAAUAUAUCUCCCAGCGGCCUGGAACGGAGCGGGAAGAGGCACAGAGAGUGGGAUGACAAAGCACAGGGUCGAAAGCUGCUCCUGCUGGUUUUGGCAAAAGGGAGGGUGGGGAGAGGUAGGGAAGAGCCCACCCUGAGCUUUACAGGUGCUGUCGGGGAGCACAGCCUUCCUGCACCGCUGUUCGCCCGGACAGGGAGCUCAGGGUUGGAAGGGACCUUGGUACCAGCCGGUGCAAGGAUGCUGCUGCCGGGGCCAGUGCAAGACGGUGGAAUCCAGCGCAUCACAUCUCUGCUGCAACUCCUUCACACACCCCAUCUUUCCCAGGCGCCGAAGGAAUUUAUCCUCCUCAUGCAGCCCUUCAGACAGAUGAAGGCAGUGUCUGAAACCUCCCCCUACUCUCCCCCUCCCCCGGACCUUCCAUCUUCUUCGUGAUGACCGCCAUGUCAUAGUGACUGUCACGUGGCACCAUGACUGGUGAGCUCCUGGGGAAGGAAUGUGGUUUGCCUUGUGUUUAUGAGGGAAGCAUCUCAUCCUGGAAGUCCAGCUUCCCUCUGGCUCUGAACUUUAGGCAAGUUUCUCCCCAUCUUUGAACCUUAGUCACCCAGCUGUCAAAUGAGGGGAUGGACUGGGUGACCCUCAAGUGCCCCUUGCACCUCCCAUGCCCAGUGGCCCUCUACCCUGGCCACGCUACCAGAAACCGGACACUGGGCUGAUGGGUUCGACUCCCUGUGGCUCCCCCGAUGCCUCUGGGGUUGGUGUUGAAGCGAGUUAAAAUGAUUAGAGGGGCUCAGAGCACACGGGAUAGGAGACAGGAAGUUAACACCCCGGGAACCAAAGGCUCUGGAGACAGAGUUGGAUCUGUAUUGGUUUCCUGUGGUUGCUUGAACAAAUGACCACAAACGUAUUGGCUUAAAGCAACACAAAUUUAUUAUCUUACGAUUCUGGAGGGUUGGAAGUCUGAAAUAGGUCUCACUGGCCUAAAAUCAAGGUGUUGGCAAGGCUGCGUUCCUUCUAGAAGCUCUGAGGGAGAAUCCGCCGUUCGCUUGCCUUUCCAGCUUCUAGAGGCUUCUGCAUUCCUUGGCUUGGAACUGCUUCCCUCAUCUUCAGAUCCAGCAAGUAGCAGCUCCCAGUCCCUUCCUGACCCUGAGGAUCACCCUUGAGCCUUGCUUUUCCACUUUAAAGGACCCUUGUGAUUGCAUUGGGUCCACCCGCCCAAUCCAGGAUAAUGUCCUUAUUUUAAGGUGAGCUGAUGAGCGAUCUUAAUGCCGUCUUAACAGCCUCUUGCUGUAUCACACCUGUAUCCACAGAUUCUGGGGGACUAGGACAUGUGCAUCUUUGAGAUGCCAUUCUUUUACCUUCCAUGAGAUCCACAUCCCAGCUCUUAAAAAAGCCAAGAGGGCUUCCCUGGUGGUGCAGUGGUUGAGAGUCCGCCUGCCGAUGCAGGGGACGCGGGUUCGUGCCCCGGUCCAGGAAGAUCCCACAUGCCGCGGAGCGGCUGGGCCCGUGAUCCAUGGCCGCUGAGCCUGCGCGUCCGGAGCCUGUGCUCCGCAACGGGAGAGGCCACAACAGUGAGAGGCCCGCGUACCGCAAAAAAAAAAAAAAAAGCC